Molecule: ribosomal RNA, 461 nt
Filed under: Neosparassus salacius
Lineage: Eukaryota; Metazoa; Arthropoda; Arachnida; Araneae; Sparassidae
Description: partial 16S ribosomal RNA
Rfam family: Bacterial large subunit ribosomal RNA
Source: RNAcentral
AAAAACAUAUUUAAUAGAUAUAAUUAUUAAUAUAUCCUGCUCAAUGAAUUAUUAAAUAGCCGCAGUUCAUACUGUGCUAAGGUAGCAUAAUCAUUUGUCUUUUAAUUAAAGACUAGAAUGAAAGGAUAAACAUUUAAAUCAUUAUUAAAAUCUUAUAUUUUCAAUUUAAUUUAAAUGUAAAAACUCAUUUAUAAAAAAGAUAGACGAAAAGACCCUAUUGAACUUUACUGAAGUUAAACUGGGGCAGUUAAUUAAAAAUUAUUUUAAUUUUAAAUUUUAAAAAAAUGACCCAAUAAAAUUGAAACUAUGAUCAAGUUACCAUAGGGAUAACAGCGUAAUAAUUUUCUAUAGAUCUUAUAUAAAAAAUUGAUUGCGACCUCGAUGUUGAAUUAAUUAUUCUAGUAAAUGAAACAAUUUAAAAAGAAAGUCUGUUCGACUUUUAAUAAAUUACAUGAUCUGAG